This 637-nucleotide ribosomal RNA is filed under the name uncultured bacterium. Its description in RNAcentral is "bacterial SSU rRNA". It matches the Rfam family "Bacterial small subunit ribosomal RNA", at positions 607 to 1244 of the family's 1533-position model. The record is from RNAcentral.
GCUCAACCGGGGAGGGUCAUUGGAAACCGGGGAACUUGAGUGCAGAAGAGGAGAGUGGAAUUCCACGUGUAGCGGUGAAAUGCGUAGAGAUGUGGAGGAACACCGGUGGCGAAGGCGACUCUCUGGUCUGUAACUGACGCUGAGGCGCGAAAGCGUGGGGAGCGAACAGGAUUAGAUACCCUGGUAGUCCACGCCGUAAACGAUGAGUGCUAAGUGUUAGAGGGUUUCCGCCCUUUAGUGCUGCAGCAAACGCAUUAAGCACUCCGCCUGGGGAGUACGGUCGCAAGACUGAAACUCAAAGGAAUCGACGGGGGCCCGCACAAGCGGUGGAGCAUGUGGUUUAAUUCGAAGCAACGCGAAGAACCUUACCAGGUCUUGACAUCCUCUGGCAACCCUAGAGAUAGGGCUACCCCUUCGGGGGCAGAGUGACAGGUGGUGCAUGGUUGUCGUCAGCUCGUGUCGUGAGAUGUUGGGUUAAGUCCCGCAACGAGCGCAACCCUUGAUCUUAGUUGCCAGCAUUCAGUUGGGCACUCUAAGGUGACUGCCGGUGACAAACCGGAGGAAGGUGGGGAUGACGUCAAAUCAUCAUGCCCCUUAUGACCUGGGCUACACACGUGCUACAAUGGGCAGAACAAAG